ACGGUAACAUUGUCAGGAAAUGCAGACUGUGUCCAACGGCUCUUUUUCUUGUCUCUAACGGCUAUAUUCUUGUUUCCACGCCAUCUAAAGCUAUAAAAACAAGAAGAGAGCUAGGGGAGAACUCAUGGAAGUGGGAGAGAACUUUUAGGGAAGAGAUUCCAAACAGAUUACAAGGAAAAUCUCCCAAAAGCACAAAAGGGCCAUUCAAAGUGAAAUAGAGGGAAGAAGAGCAUCCAAGUGAAUCCCAGAGCUUCCUCUCCAUCCGUGUGCUGCCUCGGUGAUCCUCCACUUCGUGCCAAAUCAGAAGAGGGUCAAGUAAAGAAGAAGUCGAGCUCCUUCAUCUUCCAAACUCGUUUGAGGACUUCACUUUACUCUAUUUGCUUAUAGUGUUAUAUUUGCUUGUUUAAGAAGCUUUGAUUUAUCUUAAACUUUGUUUUAAUAUUUUGUAACUUGAUUCAAUCACGGGAUUGAAUCAAGGGGUAAAGGUUUGUUGGUGAGCCAAAGGAAAAACCAACGGGUAAAGGUUUGUUGGUGAGCCAAAGGAAAAACCAACGGGUUAAGGUUUGUUGGUGAGCCAAAGGGAAAACCAACGG
This 593-nucleotide long non-coding RNA is filed under the name Phoenix dactylifera (date palm). RNAcentral's name for it is "long non-coding RNA (PDAC_LNC015381)". The record is from RNAcentral. Lineage: Eukaryota; Viridiplantae; Streptophyta; Magnoliopsida; Arecales; Arecaceae.